GAUGAACGCUGGCGGCGUGCCUAAUACAUGCAAGUCGAGCGAACAGACGAGGAGCUUGCUCCUCUGACGUUAGCGGCGGACGGGUGAGUAACACGUGGAUAACCUACCUAUAAGACUGGGAUAACUUCGGGAAACCGGAGCUAAUACCGGAUAAUAUAUUGAACCGCAUGGUUCAAUAGUGAAAGACGGUUUUGCUGUCACUUAUAGAUGGAUCCGCGCCGCAUUAGCUAGUUGGUAAGGUAACGGCUUACCAAGGCGACGAUGCGUAGCCGACCUGAGAGGGUGAUCGGCCACACUGGAACUGAGACACGAUCCAGACUCCGACGGGAGGCAGCAGUAGGGAAUCGUCCGCAAUGGGCGAAAGCCUGACGGAGCAACGCCGCGUGAGUGAUGAAGGUCUUCGGAUCGUAAAACUCUGUUAUGAGGGAAGAACGAAUGUGUAAGUAACUAUGCACGUCUUGACGGUACCUAAUCAGAAAGCCACGGCUAACUACGUG
RNAcentral lists this ribosomal RNA (497 nucleotides) under uncultured bacterium. Its description in RNAcentral is "partial 16S ribosomal RNA". It matches the Rfam family "Bacterial small subunit ribosomal RNA", at positions 28 to 507 of the family's 1533-position model. The record is from RNAcentral.